AUGGUGAAGGGACGCACUGGACAGCGCGUCAGGCUCUACGUCCGGGGCACCAUCCUCGGCUUCAAGAGGUCGAAGUCGAACCAGUACGAGAGCACGUCGCUGGUGCAGGUCGAGGGGGUGAACACCAAGGAGGACGUGGCGUGGUACGCCGGGAAGCGCCUGGCGUACGUGUACAAGGCCAAGACCAAGAGCAACGGCACCCACUACCGCUGCCUCUGGGGCAAGAUCACCCGCCCGCACGGCAACUCCGGCGUCGUCCGCGCCCAGUUCAAGUCCAACCUCCCCGCCGAGUCCAUGGUCAGUGCCCGCCCGCCCUUAGCUUUCGAUGAGCUGCUUGCCUGCUUGAUGGUGCCUUUUGCUGAGGCUGUUUGUUGCUUUUGUUUUGUGUGCAGGGGCGCAAGGUCAGGGUAUUCAUGUACCCGAGCAGCAUCUAAGGUUUUUUCGAUCUAG
Molecule: ribosomal RNA, 450 nt
Filed under: Triticum aestivum (bread wheat)
Lineage: Eukaryota; Viridiplantae; Streptophyta; Magnoliopsida; Poales; Poaceae
Description: partial small subunit ribosomal RNA
Source: RNAcentral